Molecule: transfer RNA, 16 nt
Filed under: Coffea mannii
Lineage: Eukaryota; Viridiplantae; Streptophyta; Magnoliopsida; Gentianales; Rubiaceae
Description: partial tRNA-Phe
Source: RNAcentral
GUCGGGAUGCUCAGAU